RNAcentral lists this ribosomal RNA (989 nucleotides) under Staphylococcus aureus. Its description in RNAcentral is "partial 23S ribosomal RNA". It matches the Rfam family "Bacterial large subunit ribosomal RNA", at positions 158 to 1187 of the family's 2925-position model. Lineage: Bacteria; Bacillati; Bacillota; Bacilli; Caryophanales; Staphylococcaceae. The record is from RNAcentral.
CUGAAUCCAUAGGUUAAUGAGGCGAACCGGGGGAACUGAAACAUCUAAGUACCCCGAGGAAAAGAAAUCAACCGAGAUUCCCCCAGUAGCGGCGAGCGAACGGGGAGGAGCCCAGAGCCUGAAUCAGCAUGUGUGUUAGUGGAAGCGUCUGGAAAGGCGCGCGAUACAGGGUGACAGCCCCGUACACAAAAGCGCAUGUGUUGUGAGCUCGAUGAGUAGGGCGGGACACGUGGUAUCCUGUCUGAAUAUGGGGGGACCAUCCUCCAAGGCUAAAUACUCCUGACUGACCGAUAGUGAACCAGUACCGUGAGGGAAAGGCGAAAAGAACCCCGGCGAGGGGAGUGAAAAAGAACCUGAAACCGUGUACGUACAAGCAGUGGGAGCACCCUUUGGGGUGUGACUGCGUACCUUUUGUAUAAUGGGUCAGCGACUUAUAUUCUGUAGCAAGGUUAACCGAAUAGGGGAGCCGGAGGGAAACCGAGUCUUAAUUGGGCGUUAAGUUGCAGGGUAUAGACCCGAAACCCGGUGAUCUAGCCAUGGGCAGGUUGAAGGUUGGGUAACACUAACUGGAGGACCGAACCGACUAAUGUUGAAAAAUUAGCGGAUGACCUGUGGCUGGGGGUGAAAGGCCAAUCAAACCGGGAGAUAGCUGGUUCUCCCCGAAAGCUAUUUAGGUAGCGCCUCGUGAAUUCAUCUCCGGGGGUAGAGCACUGUUUCGGCUAGGGGGCCAUCCCGGCUUACCAACCCGAUGCAAACUGCGAAUACCGGAGAAUGUUAUCACGGGAGACACACGGCGGGUGCUAACGUCCGUCGUGAAGAGGGAAACAACCCAGACCGCCAGCUAAGGUCCCAAAGUCAUGGUUAAGUGGGAAACGAUGUGGGAAGGCCCAGACAGCCAGGAUGUUGGCUUAGAAGCAGCCAUCAUUUAAAGAAAGCGUAAUAGCUCACUGGUCGAGUCGGCCUGCGCGGAAGAUGUAACGGGGCUAAAC